GCCAAGGUUUUAAAAAGGAUUUCCCUUCUUUGAGUAAAAGUCAGUGACUUUAGGUGGUAAGUUCCCAGCUCAUACUCUUGGCAGCUGGAGACAGGCUAUGAUCUCUCUCUCUCUCUCUCUUUCUUACCCCCACCUCCCGUCAACAAGCACCUCUCUUGCACUCUCUUUUAACUUUCUUUCUUUCUUUCUUUCUUUCUUUCUUUCUUUCUUUCUUUCUUUCUUUCUUUCUUUCUUUCUCUUUCAAGGUGGAAUUAUACAGCAAAAGACAUGUGGGUUAAGACUUCUCUCUGCAAGGAAUUUACUAAUUGCUAGAGACAUGCUGACACGAGGAGUGGUCUAGACAAGGGACCACGGAAGCCACCUCCUGGACCUGCCCACCUGUGCCAGUGGCCCAGAGAGGAGACCUCUGGAAGCCCUGCUUCUUCUGCCAGCUGGGGUUCCUGGUGAUGUGAUUUUAUCCUGAUAUUCAGAAUCACAUUGCCAGGGAUUUCCAACUGUCGGUGAGUAAACGCAGCACCUCGAUACAAGAACUAGAGCACUGAAGUGGACCGGGAUCAUCUUGGCAUCAGAAAGGUGGCCAACACAACAACCCCACUGUCACACAUACACAGAGCUCCUGGACUUGAUGAUGCUUGUGACCGGCCCUACCAUCAGGCAGUAGAUUUUGGCUGUCAGGAAAAUGCAGCCAAUUGUUAUUUAGCUCAUAUUGCACUUUUUGGUGCCUCUCAAUGUGGGGAGAGUUGCUUCUGGGACCUUUGUGCCAAAAUAUCACGACUGUUUUUGGAUCCUGCACAUCUUGAUUCAGGUGACCUGAAGGUAAGCUGUCAUUUGUUGGUCUGCCGCGGGCAACACCAUGCCUCAGACCAGGUGAGUGUGUGUGUUUAUGUGUGUGUGUCUGGGUAAACCAGCACAGAGGCAUUGGGGAUCGGUGGGGAAAGGCUUUCUACAGACGGCAAGGGGCAGGGCUUAGCCCACCUGUGAACAGCGUUCGGUUCAGCCAUGUUCACAGUGGCUAAGUUCCGCCCCUUGUGGUCGAUUUGCUCUCUCCUCCUCCAGGACCCCCAUACUCUGUGCCUUCGCUGUGAAGAGGUCCUAAGAAUGCAAACAGAGCCAGGAAAGAAGAAGCACAGAUGUGUUUGCCAGGGAUUUGGAAGGGUACUAAAAAGGGGAGAUACUAGAUCUUUAUUUGUACUGAGCCUAGAG
Non-coding RNA from Pogona vitticeps (central bearded dragon), 1203 nucleotides. Lineage: Eukaryota; Metazoa; Chordata; Lepidosauria; Squamata; Agamidae. The record is from RefSeq and is a predicted model, not a curated record.